AUUGAACGCUGGCGGCAUGCCUUACACAUGCAAGUCGAACGGUAACAGGUCUUCGGAUGCUGCCGAGUGGCGCACGGGUGAGUAAUACAUCGGAACGUGCCCAGACGUGGGGGAUAACGAGGCGAAAGCUUUGCUAAUACCGCAUACGAUCUAAGGAUGAAAGCAGGGGACCGCAAGGCCUUGCGCGUUUGGAGCGGCCGAUGGCAGAUUAGGUAGUUGGUGGGAUAAAAGCUUACCAAGCCGACGAUCUGUAGCUGGUCUGAGAGGACGACCAGCCACACUGGGACUGAGACACGGCCCAGACUCCUACGGGAGGCAGCAGUGGGGAAUUUUGGACAAUGGGCGAAAGCCUGAUCCAGCAAUGCCGCGUGCAGGAUGAAGGCCUUCGGGUUGUAAACUGCUUUUGUACGGAACGAAAAGGCUCUGGCUAAUACCUGGGGCACAUGACGGUACCGGAAGAAUAAGCACCGGCUAACUACGUG
Molecule: ribosomal RNA, 482 nt
Filed under: uncultured bacterium
Lineage: Bacteria
Description: partial 16S ribosomal RNA
Rfam family: Bacterial small subunit ribosomal RNA
Source: RNAcentral